Molecule: long non-coding RNA, 5660 nt
Organism: Oncorhynchus masou masou (cherry salmon)
Lineage: Eukaryota; Metazoa; Chordata; Actinopteri; Salmoniformes; Salmonidae
Exons: 3
Source: RefSeq, a predicted model, not a curated record
CCCUCACAGCACCCCUGUAGGUCCCUGGCCUCUCACCCUCCCCCCACAGCAUCCCUGUAGGUCCCUGGCCUCUCACAGCAUCCCAUAUAGGUCCCUGGCCUCUCACCCUCCCCUCACAGCAUCCCAUGUAGGUCCCUGGCCUCUCACAGCAUCCCAUAUAGGUCCCUGGCCUCUCACCCUCCCCUCACAGCAUCCCAUGUAGGUCCCUGGCCUCUCACCCUCCCCUCACAGCACCCCUGUAGGUCCCUGGCCUCUCACCCUCCCCUCACAGCACCCCUGUAGGUCCCUGGCCUCUCACCCUCCCCUCACAGCAUCCCUGUAGGUCCCUGGCCUCUCACCCUCCCCCCACAGCAUCCCUGUAGGUCCCUGGCCUCUCACCCUCCCCUCACAGCACCCCUGUAGGUCCCUGGCCUCUCACCCUCCCCUCACAGCACCCCUGUAGGUCCCUGGCCUCUCACCCUCCCCUCACAGCAUCCCUGUAGGUCCCUGGCCUCUCACCCUCCCCUCACAGCACCCCUGUAGGCCCCUGGCCUCCGAUCCUCCUCUCACAACCCCCCUGUAGGCACCUGGGGGCCCUUGGCCCCACCACCUCCCCCUAACCAGCUUGCGUGUCCCUGGCCCCUCGCCCUCCUCUUAAGACCCCUGUAGGUCUCUGGCCUCUACUCACAAUACUGAUAAUAAUGAACAUAUAUUUUUCAUUUCUAUGUACCUGUAACUUAAAUAAUGUACAGCGAACUGUCUUAAGAGGUUGAAGGUAAAUAUUGAGAGGGAGGACAACGUGUGGUAUGUAUAUAGGUUAUAUUAGUCAAUUGAUAGUUACACUGGAUGUAGAUGUACAGUAUAACAUAAGUACAUUUGUAAAUACUUUUUUCACUUAAAACUAUUACUACCAAGUCUGCCCAAAGCUCUUCCUGAAGAUCUACCAUCCUGUAGGUUUUCAAUCCAACCGUCAUCAAACAUACCUGAUUCCACUAGUUAAGGUCUGGGGGACCUGCUAAUAAUUAGAAUCAGGUGAGUGAGUGAAAAAGUACAGGCCAGUAGGUCUUCAGGACGAGGGUUGGGCAGCUCUGCAGCAGGCCUACAUGCUAGCCUGGAACUGCUGUCAACUAGGAUGGGCGUUAGGGAGGCUCCACCACUACAACUACACUUACACUGCCUUGCAAAAGUGUUCACACCCCUCAGGUUUCCUCACAUUUUGUUGGUACAAAGUGGGAUUAAAAAUAAAUAAAAUAUUUUUUUGUUGUCAACAAUCUACACAAAAUACUCAAGUCAAAGUGUUUUAUUGAUUUAAUAUGAAUAGAGAUGACAUAACAAAAAUAUCGUCGUUGCAUAAGUAUUGAGCUCCCGAAGUCAAUACAUUUGACUUAGGGGGUGAUUACAUCUGUGUCUUCCUGGGUAAGUCUUUUAAAGCUUUACACACCUGGAUUGUGCAAUAUUAGCCCAUUUAUUCUUUUUAAAGUUCUUCAAGCUCUGUCAAGAUGUCUCGCUAUUGAUUUAAGCAGAUUUAGGUCUAACUGUAACUUGGCCACUCAGGAACAUUCACUGUUUUCUUAGUCAAAUACUCCAGUGUAGAUUUGGCCUUGUGUUGUAGGUUAUUGUCCUGCUGAAAAGUGAAUUCCCCUCCCAGUGACUGGUGUAAAGCAGACUGAAGCCUCAAGGAUUUUACAUGUGCUUAGCUUCAUCCCAUUUCUUUUUAUCCUGAAAAACUGCCCAGUAUUUGCCGACGUCAAGCAUACCCAUAACAUGAUGCAGCCACCACCAUGCUUAAAAAUAAGGAGGCAGUUAGUUACUCCGUGUUGUUGGAUUUGCCCCAAAUGUAAGGCUUUGCAGUGUUUUUUUUUAAAGUAUAACUUGUGUGCCUUGUUGCAUACAACAUGCAUGUUUUGGAAUAUUUUUAUUCUGUAUAUUUUUGUAUUGUUCUUUUCAAUCUGCCAUUGUAAGUCAUUAUUGUGGAGUCUCUACAAUGUUGUUGGGCCAACCUCAGUUUUCUCCCAUCACAGCUUUUCUUUUAAAAUCACCAUGGUGACAUCCCUGAGCUGUUUCAAUCCUGCUGCUCAGUUCAAAAGGAGGAUCUUUUAUGUCUCUGAGUGGUUUAAUACACCAUCCACAUCACCAUGCGUAAAUAUAUAUUCAAUGUCUGAUUUGUUAUUGUUACCCAUCUACCAAUCACUGCCCUUCUGAAAAAGGCUUUCGAAAAGGUCCCUGGUCUUUGUAAUUUAAUCUGUGCUUGAAAUUCAAUACUUGACUGAAGGACCUCACAGAUGGUGUAUGUAUGGGGUACAGAGGAAGGGUUGUUCACUAAAAUAUCAUGUCAACCCCUAUUACACACAGUGAGUCCAUAUAACUUCAAAUCAAAUUGUAUUAGUCACAUGUACCGAAUACAACAGAUGUAGACCUUACAUUGAAAUGCUUACUUACAAGCCCCUAACUGACAAUGCAGUUAAAACAUAUAUGGAUAAGAAUAAGAGAGAAGUGUAACAAGUAAUUAAAGAGGAGCAGUAAAAAAUAACAAUAUAUACAGGGGGGCGGUACAGUCGAUCUGUGGGGGCACCGGUUAGUUGAGGUAGUAUGAACAUGUAGGUAGAGUUAAUUAAAGUGACUAUGCAUAGAUGACAACAGAGUGGCAGUGGUGUGGAGGGGGGAGGGGCAAUGUGAAUAGUCUGGGUAGCCAUUUGGCUAGAUAUUCAGGAGUCUUAUGGCUUGGGGGUAGAAGCUGUUUAGAAGCCUCUUAGACCCAGACUUGGCGCUCCGGUACCGCUUGCCGUAUGGUAGCAGAGAGAACAGUCUAUGACUAGGGUGGCUGGAGCCUUUGACAAUUUUCAGGGCUUUCCUCUGACACCGCCUGGUAUAGAGGUCCUGGAUGGCAGGAAGCUUGGCCACAGCAAUGUACAGGGCCGUUCGCACUACGCUCUGUAGUGCCUUGUGGUCAGAAGCAGAGCAGUUGCCAUACCAGGCAGUGAUGCAACCAGUCGGAUUGCUCUCGAUGGUGCAGGUGUAGAACCUUUUGAGGAUCUGAGGACUCAUGCCAAAUAUGAUCAGUCUUCUGAGGGGGAAUAGGUUUUGUCAUGCAUGCUUCACGACUGUCAUGGUGUGCUUGGACCAUGUUAGUUUGUUGGUGAUGUGGACACCAAGGAACUUGAAGCUCUCAACCUGCUCCACUACAGCCCCGUCGAUGAGAAUGGGGGCGUGCUCGGUCCUAUUUUUCAUGUAGUCCACAAUCAUCUCCAUUGUCUUGAUCAGGUUGAGGGAGAGGUUGUUGUCCUGGAACCACACGGCCAGGUUCUGACCUCCUCCCUAUAGGCUCGUCUCAUUGUCGGUGAUCAGGCCGAGCACUGUUGUGUCAUCGACAAAAUUAAUGAUGGUGUUGGAUUCGUGCCUGGCCGUGCAGUCAUGAGUGAACAAGGGAGUACAGGAGAGGACUGAGCACGCACCCCUGAGUGGCCCCUGUGUUGUAAUGUGGUCUGCAGUUUAUCAUGAGAAACUACCUCAGAUGAGCAAUGGCUCGAGACUUCCUUAGAUAUCGUCCACCAACUGUUUACAAAAAUACAUAGACCGCCACUCCUUGUCUUACCAGAUGCCGCCGUUCUAUCCUGCCGGUACAUAGUAUAACCAGCCAGCUGUAUGUUGAUAUUGUUGUCGUUCAGCCACGACUCCGUGAAGCUUAUGAUGCUACAGUUAAUGUCCCGUUGGUAGUUUCAUCUUCCCAAUAACUCGUCCAUUUUAUUGUCCAAAGAUUGCAUGUUUGCGAGCAGAAUUGCGGGGAGUGAGGGUUUAUUCGAUCGCCGCCUACUCCUCAGAAGGCAGUCCUCCCUCCCUCCGGCCUCUAUCUCCACCUCCUCUUCACGCAGAUCACUGGGGCCUGUUCCUGAGGGAGCCGUAUAUCCUCCGCCUCGGGCUCAUCAGAGUUGUGAAAGAAGAGAGAAAGGCUUCUGCUAGUCCGUGGUGAGUAAUCUCAGUCCUGAUGAUGUAUAGAAGUCAUUUUCGGUCAUAAAAGACGGUAACGGCCACAUUAUGUACAAAAACAAGUUACACAACGCAGAUAAAACAAAGAAAAACACAAUCGGUUGGGGGCACGUAAAACAUCUGCCUUCUGCUCCGGUGCCAACUUGUGUUAUUUGUUAAAUCAAACUAAUUUAGGCCUGAACAAAGGGGCCAUAUUGUAGUUAUCUACUUUAAUUCAUCUUCAAAAUAAUCUUCCACUUUGACAUUGGUGUAUUUUGAGUCGAUUGUUGACCCCCCAAAAAAUACAAUUUUAUCAAUUUUAAUCCCACUUUGUAACACAAAAUGUGAAGAAAUCCAAGGGGUAUGAAUACCUUUGCAAGGCACUGUAGAUAGUUAAUGUCUUCUUGCAGAUUAAACGGUGUUGGUUUGUUUGACCAAUCCAUUUGUUUUCAUUUGUACACAUCCUGUUUUUCCAUAAUAGACCUCAGUAUUCUUUGAUGAAAACGCUGUACAUUUGACAUUGAAGAUCCUAUAGAUAGACUACUAACUUACAGUGUGAGCAUUGAAUGAAGGCUUGCAGAAACCCGGUCAGAUAUGCAUAUCACAAACUCUUUCUUGUUCAGUCCAUACCGAUCUUCUUUGCAGUGAAAUGAGGUACCUUACAGCAAUGUGUCCUCCAGCUAAGGCAGGGGUCGUUUAGCAGCUCCUGGAAAUGCAUAGUGAUGUACAAUGAAUGUGAUCAAACAACUGCAAAGGCUAGCUAAUGCUUCUGUACAGGCCAUAGACCACCAUAAAUAACACCAUAUUGUCUAGGAGUCGUGAAACAGUAUGCCUAGUUACAUGGGGACUGUGCCUUCUGUCUGCCUGUCGUUUCCUAUGCAGCUUCAGGUUAAAUCAGCAUCCUAAAACACAUGUUCCCUUUGCUUAUAGCACUAUCACUUUUAUCUGGAUAUUGUUUGUUAUAUUGUUCUUCAGAAUGUCACAAAUGUUAUUUUCUUUGAUUUAGACUUUUCGAAAAUGUUUGAUCAGUCUGCUAAGUAAUUCUACUGUAAACAAAAUGUUUUUGUUGCUUGAAUAUGUUAAACAACUACUGUACUACUACAUACUCUAAUGGUAGAAUACAAAUAGAGAAAUGCUAUGAAUUCCCUUCUACAUGUUUUUCUUUUUAAAGUGAGUAUUAUAACUUUAUAAGAUGUUAGCUAGCUACAGUAGAAAUAAUAGCUGAUAUGAUUUGACUUUCAGAUUUAGUUUCCCACCUCAGAAUAACAAAUGGAAUGUUUUUGUCAUAGUGUGAUCAUGCUGACUCAGUAUUAUACACUGUAGGCCUAUCUGAAACCACACCCUGUUCCCUUUAGUGCACUACUAUUGGUCAGAGCCAAUCUGGGCACUACGUAGGUAAUAGGAUGCCAUUUUGGACACUUAUUGAUUGUCUUCAAUAGGGGUCAGAGAAUGGACAGUAGUCACGCUGGUUAGUGUGGAGGUAUGAGAGGGAGAAAUAUGAGUGUAAGAAUCGGAGUCUCAAUAGAUACCACUGGUUGGAUUCAACUUUAGACGACUGUUUGAGUACAGGUAAACCACUGGCUAGGCACACCAGAAGGGUUUCAAAUGCAUUUUAUACGGUUUUAUAAUAUUUUCUCACUCUGUUCCUGUAUCUGUACAAAAAUGACCUUUGUACACAUUCAUGACCUUGUAUGAAAUAAAACAAUUGGACACAAGAA